UUUCUUUGUAUUGCACAGGUUUAUGUUGUUACCCGUACAGAAUCUUUUUUUUCUUCUCUAAUUGUACUGAGGAUUGAGCCCUCAAGGGAAAGCUUUGGCAUGAAACAUAAGAAACAUGAAAAGGCAGCAUCACUCCUCCAAAAGUCCGUAACACCUCAGCUACUGAAUUCAAAGCUACACAAAGAGGUUAAAACUAUGGACAAAGAUUUCAAAACUUUACUAGAGAAACAAUCAUGGACUUCAAAGGGGAUAAGAAGAAGCAGUAAAUUCAGUCAGAGGCCUGCAGAGGACAGGCAGCUGCACAGACCUAAGAGUCGACAAAAUGGUGUGCAUUUUGUGAGUAGUGUGGAAGGGAAGGGAAGCAAGGAAGUUGAGACUCCAGGGUGGGACAGAUAAAAAGUGAGAAAUUAAAACCUUAAUGAUACGAAAACCCAAGGAAAAGGAUCACCGACAGACUUGACCGAUUAGAAGAAAGAAAGGCAGGCAUGGAGGACAAGGCCAAAAAACAUUGUGUUCAAACAUUACAACUAGGACGGUUCAAGGCAAACACGUCUUUGAGAUUGGAGGUGGCAGGAGACUGGUGUGGAGGGAGAGACUGGAGCUGCCCUUCAGGACCGCGGAGACGCAGCCUGGAUCCAAGGAAAAUACAGAGGAAUGGUGUGAGGCCGACUCCUUCUAACCCCUAAGAAAAUUCAGCCAUUAUUCACCUGCUGCUGUGGCCCAGAGAAACAAAGCAACCCUUUAAUCCCUCUGUUUCUCUGACAGUCUUCACUGUGUCUGCCUGUCUCUGAGCAGCUCCUCCUCCCCCCAGGAAGCACCAACAAGGCAUAGUGCACCUAAGAAUACUCCUUAUUUUUAUUUGGUUGGGUAACACCAAGUGUCUGACUCCAUAAUAGGGAAAAGGUCAUAAUAACCCAUAUGGUAGGGAAGAUGGCUUAUUGAUCCUCUGAUUAGCUCACUUGAGUGAGCCUAUGCAGUUGAAACAGCACUAUAAAUGUAGCCGUGUGCCCUCAAGCCAAAUUUACUUUAAGGACCUUGGUCCAGUAUUCAUAAAAUGGGUAGAUAAAGAAUGUCACCCCUGUUUCUCCCAAAUAUCUUCUUCUCCAGUAAAUAAAA
This is a long non-coding RNA of Mesocricetus auratus (golden hamster), 1116 nucleotides long. RefSeq lists it as uncharacterized. The record is from RefSeq and is a predicted model, not a curated record. Lineage: Eukaryota; Metazoa; Chordata; Mammalia; Rodentia; Cricetidae. The transcript is spliced from 3 exons.